This is a long non-coding RNA of Sander lucioperca (pikeperch), 448 nucleotides long. RefSeq lists it as uncharacterized. The transcript has 3 exons. NCBI's taxonomy places the organism in Eukaryota, Metazoa, Chordata, Actinopteri, Perciformes, Percidae. The record is from RefSeq and is a predicted model, not a curated record.
AAAUGAUGACAGGCUAUCUAUCUGCAAAAGGGGUUAAAGCUUCUGAGGGCAGAGUGGGCAAAGUGUUGAGACGUAUUCAUCAACCCUACCACAUUGCAAGACAGCAGGGUGCCCGAAAUCUGAACCCCAUACCCUACAAUGCACAAUACAUGGGGCACAAGCUACAUGUAGAUCAGAAUGAAAAGCUUGUUAUGUUUGGAGUGACCCAUGUAAUGGCUAUCGAUGGUUUCAGCAAGAAGAUUGUCAGUCACUCCACUAUGCCAAUAAAGAACAACAUCAUAAUUUAUGAGGAAGUGUACAGACCUGCUGUACUUUCCUAUGGACUAUGGGAUCAGGUCAGAGUUGACUGUGGGAAAGAGUUUUAUCUGGCAUUAUUCAUACAGGAAAAGCUGGCAGAACACAGACACAAUACUCAAAGGCAGCCUUACAUUCAGACUCCUUCUACAAG